Molecule: ribosomal RNA, 497 nt
Filed under: uncultured bacterium
Lineage: Bacteria
Description: partial 16S ribosomal RNA
Rfam family: Bacterial small subunit ribosomal RNA
Source: RNAcentral
GAUGAACGCUGGCGGCGUGCCUAAUACAUGCAAGUCGAGCGAACAGAUGAGGAGCUUGCUCCUCUGACGUUAGCGGCGGACGGGUGAGUAACACGUGGAUAACCUACCUAUAAGACUGGGAUAACUUCGGGAAACCGGAGCUAAUACCGGAUAAUAUAUUGAACCGCAUGGUUCAAUAGUGAAAGACGGUUUUGCUGUCACUUAUAGAUGGAUCCGCGCCGCAUUAGCUAGUUGGUAAGGUAACGGCUUACCAAGGCAACGAUGCGUAGCCGACCUGAGAGGGGGAUCGGCCACACUGGAACUGGGACGCGGUCCAGACUCCUACGGGAGGCAGCAGUAGGGAAUCUGCCGCAAUGGGCGAAAGCCUGACGGAGCAACGCCGCGUGAGUGAUGAAGGUCUUCGGAGCGUAAAACUCUGUUAUUAGGGAAGAACAAAUGUGUAAGUAACUAUGCACGUCUUGACGGUACCUAAUCAGAAAGCCACGGCUAACUACGUG